Long non-coding RNA from Engraulis encrasicolus (European anchovy), 261 nucleotides. RefSeq lists it as uncharacterized. Lineage: Eukaryota; Metazoa; Chordata; Actinopteri; Clupeiformes; Engraulidae. The transcript is spliced from 3 exons. The record is from RefSeq and is a predicted model, not a curated record.
GUGCCUCUGGUGUGUGGUGUGUGUCUGUGUUUGUUGGUGGUGUGUGUGCUGUGCUCUCUGAUGGUUCUCAAAAGGAAGAGACCAACUGACCAAUCACAAGCUCGUGCAGCACCUCUUCAGGGAAACACCAUCUCAUCCACACCACCACAGGCAGAAGAGGAGGGUCUUCAUGUGUACGAUGAGAUGGUUGGCAUGACAACCUACAGUGCCAUCCAAUCAGCAUCAGCCAUUUACAGCCUCGCUGGACCCUCACCCGCCCUU